CGAUAUAGAGGGCGCCGGCCCUAACACAUGCAAGUCGAACGGUAACAGGAAGCAGCUUGCUGCUUCGCUGACGAGUGGCGGACGGGUGAGUAAUGUCUGGGAAACUGCCUGAUGGAGGGGGAUAACUACUGGAAACGGUAGCUAAUACCGCAUAACGUCGCAAGACCAAAGAGGGGGACCUUCGGGCCUCUUGCCAUCGGAUGUGCCCAGAUGGGAUUAGCUAGUAGGUGGGGUAACGGCUCACCUAGGCGACGAUCCCUAGCUGGUCUGAGAGGAUGACCAGCCACACUGGAACUGAGACACGGUCCAGACUCCUACGGGAGGCAGCAGUGGGGAAUAUUGCACAAUGGGCGCAAGCCUGAUGCAGCCAUGCCGCGUGUAUGAAGAAGGCCUUCGGGUUGUAAAGUACUUUCAGCGGGGAGGAAGGUGUUGAGGUUAAUAACCUCGUCAAUUGACGUUACCCGCAGAAGAAGCACCGGCUAACUCCGUGCCAGCAGCCGCGGUAAUACGGAGGGUGCAAGCGUUAAUCGGAAUUACUGGGCGUAAAGCGCACGCAGGCGGUCUGUCAAGUCGGAUGUGAAAUCCCCGGGCUCAACCUGGGAACUGCAUUCGAAACUGGCAGGCUAGAGUCUUGUAGAGGGGGGUAGAACUCCAUGUGUAGCGGUG
This 666-nucleotide ribosomal RNA is filed under the name Enterobacter cloacae. RNAcentral describes it as "bacterial SSU rRNA". It matches the Rfam family "Bacterial small subunit ribosomal RNA", at positions 26 to 683 of the family's 1533-position model. The record is from RNAcentral. Lineage: Bacteria; Pseudomonadati; Pseudomonadota; Gammaproteobacteria; Enterobacterales; Enterobacteriaceae.